GGCGGCAUAGCUCAGUUGGCUAGAGCACUCGGUUCAUACCCGAGGUGUCGUAGGUUCAAGUCCCACUGCCGCUACCA
Molecule: transfer RNA, 77 nt
Filed under: Oscillospiraceae bacterium
Lineage: Bacteria; Bacillati; Bacillota; Clostridia; Eubacteriales; Oscillospiraceae
Description: tRNA-Met
Rfam family: tRNA
About the family: Transfer RNA (tRNA) molecules are approximately 80 nucleotides in length.
Source: RNAcentral